Molecule: long non-coding RNA, 2440 nt
Organism: Triticum dicoccoides
Lineage: Eukaryota; Viridiplantae; Streptophyta; Magnoliopsida; Poales; Poaceae
Exons: 3
Source: RefSeq, a predicted model, not a curated record
AGAGGCUUACUUGCAGUCCCUGAGCAAGACUCUGUCGCACUACCACAAGGCCCAACUGCUGCUCCUCGACAUCACCAACUUCUCGCUAUCCAGAGCAAGUAUGGGAGCUCCAAUAAGGCCAUCGUCCAGAACCAGUCCAUGUCCGAGAAGACGUUUGGAAGGGUGUCCGAGUUCAUCGCAUUUUUUGCAAUGUUUCCUAAGACGGAUGAGCCUAGAGGUACCAGAACAAUACAAUUCAAUAUCUUCUCAUGUUUCUGCAAGAGUAGGUACAGUGUACUGUGUUGGAUAUGCUGACUCGUUUUGAGGGAGCCAGAAAAUCUGUGGUGCUUCCUGGAAUCACGUUAUUCAAGGUAAAACCAGCCAAGUUGUUCUCUUUGAUGUUCUUUGCAUUAGAUUAAUAUAAAUCAUGUUCCUAGCAAAGUUCUAUUCUAUUACAAAUUUACAAUCUUUUAGAGUUGUAGUAGUCGGAGAUUCAUUUUCAAGUUUGAACCCCUAUCCUAUUAUUUAUGUUUGAGCAUGUUCUUCUUGUUUCUGUACGAGUACCUCUAAUUUAACUCUCUAAAAGCUCCCAAGCAAAAGAAGGCUUGCUGCGUCCUAAUAAAGAUUCUCCUUGUUUGCUUAUGCUUGUGUUGCUUCCUGCCUACUGCUUUGGGACAGAUAUAUGCAUGUUAGUUUGUCUCUGAUGUGUUGUAGGGCGUGCCCAAUUUUCUUAGAUUCUUACCAAUUCUUGAUUCUAGGAUCCAGUAGACUAGGUGAUCAUUUUUUAUAUAUGCCCAAACCAACGCAUGCUAUUGUAAUAUAUGUGCUUCAGAAUUGGCAGAGCACCACUUGCUGUAUACAUAUGCAAACAGUAAUUCUUGUUGCUCACCCAUAUGAGGUAUAGUUGUGGGAAUCCUGAACUGAGGUUGGGGAUUGCUGAUGUGAAAUGGCGGCGUCACGAGCCAGAAGGUUACCAUGGAGACCAUAAGCAGCCCAGCAGCAGCAACCCAACAUAAAUGCACAAAACAAGCAUGAGCGGAUACACGCAGCAACAAGCAUGGGAAUAGAAGUGGAUAGCCAUGGAACCUGUGCCGCAGGGAGCGCCGGUCAGCCCGGUGGACCUGUGACGUAAGCACGACGGUAGAUCAGACACACUCACGGUCAUUGGCGUGUGCGCUGGAUCGACUGUCCUCGGCUGAUACAAGCACCUGGCAUGAUGUGGUCGCUUGGUCUAUCCAUCAACAUUAUAUCUCCUUCAUCAAUUAGUUUUCUCAUAUUUCUUAUUAUGAAGGCUAGGAACUAGGCUGAAAUACACAGAUGUCUUAGUUGUUGCUUUUCUUAAUGCAGAUAUGGAAGAUCUAAAAUCCUCUGUGAAAGAUUUUGGUUCUGCGGAAGCCAAUGAUCUGGCACUGGGACCUUAACUUCUGGAGUGAACGACUGCAGGAAUCAAAAUACAAUAUUGAUGAGGUUCUUUCUUUACAGAAGUCGAUUACAAUAUUAAUGAAAUUAGCUCCUGACCAUUGCAUCUUUGCAUACUUAUUGGAAUUCGGUUUUAUCAUUAAUUGUAGAUUUAACUUUUUAGCUCUGAUGUAUGAGAAAUUUAUCUGCAUUUCUCAUCUAUCAUGGAUAUGCUGACAUAUUGCUCUACUAAAAGGCAUUGUUGGCCUAAGAUGUUAUUAUAUACGUAACAUGUUAUUGGCUAAAUAUGAUUCAUACUUUACAAACUCCUUACAGCUGGAGUAGGAUCCAAUGAACAGAUGGUGAAAAGUAAGUUAAGAACUUGCUUUGAUUUGUUCAAUUUUUUUACAGAAACUGUUAGAACACACUUUUCUUUGCAAGCUGGAUACAAAGAGGAAUGUGUUAAAUAUAUGGAAGAUAAAAUUAUUUGCAAGCAAACUCUGCUUGUCUGCCAUAUUUUGCGCACCGUCUUAAAAUUAUUUGUCCAACGGAAGGACUCUCUGCAACAUCAAUUCCAGUAUGUUGCUUUAAUUGUUCUGUGUGAUGCAAGGUAAUAUUUUUCUUGCAAUUUUUGCAUCUUUUACCUUUUCACUUCUGUUGAGAGAAACAUGUUGUUUCUUAAGAAGAUAUUGUUUAUAAGACGGAACAAUACUCACCAUAUAUGAUAUUCUUCCACCAAAUAAAUAUUUUUUUAGUGCAACUAAAAUCGUUUUCCUGCUCAUUCAUGAUGCUGUGGUCUGACACAGCCGAUGGAUGUUCAUGUUUCUCUAUUAGUUGCAAUGCCUUCUAGAUGUGCUACUAUAGUGUUAUUUUUCUAUGCUUUAAUAUCCAUUCUACAUGUGUUCUUCUGUUUAUUUUCCAGAUAUCCUGGCUCUCUGGAAUAUGCCCAGUUCAGCUGAAAGGAUGUAUUGCAAUUAUGCAGAGAGAUGGAAUUGUCGGACUCCAGUGCCACUUUCAGUUUUCUAUUUUUGCAGGGAUAUUGUGUGAGGGCUGGUGGUAUGAG